UGGUGGAGUGAUUUGUCUGGUUAAUUCCGUUAACGAACGAGACCUCCGCGUGCUAAAUAGUCUCGCUUACCUUUUUGGUAGGUUUUGAGACUUCUUAGAGGGACUUUUGGGUAAUCAAACCAAAGGAAGUUGGAGGCAAUAACA
This 144-nucleotide ribosomal RNA is filed under the name uncultured eukaryote. RNAcentral describes it as "partial 18S ribosomal RNA". It matches the Rfam family "Eukaryotic small subunit ribosomal RNA", at positions 1299 to 1458 of the family's 1831-position model. The record is from RNAcentral.